This 379-nucleotide unclassified non-coding RNA is filed under the name uncultured Oligoflexales bacterium. Its description in RNAcentral is "contains 16S-23S intergenic spacer region". Lineage: Bacteria; Pseudomonadati; Bdellovibrionota; Oligoflexia; Oligoflexales. The record is from RNAcentral.
UCCGUGUUAACCACGGCAGUCUCUCUAGAGAGCCCAACUGAAUGCUGGCAACUAAAGACAAGGGUUGCGCUCGUUGCGGGACUUAACCCAACAUGUCACCACACGAGCUGACGACAGCCAUGCAGCACCUGUCUCCCUGCCCGGUUGCCCGGGAGACCCUAUCUCUAGGGCUGUCAGGGGAUGUCAAACCCAGGUAAGGUUCUGCGCGUUGCUUCGAAUUAAACCACAUGAUCCACCGCUUGUGCGGGCCCCCGUCAAUUCCUUUGAGUUUUAGUCUUGCGACCGUACUUCCCAGGCGGGGUACUUAUCGCGUUAGCUGCGACUCGGCAGGGGUCAAGACCCACCAAGUCUAGUACCCAUCGUUUACGGCGUGGACUAC